GACGAACGCUGGCGGCGUGCUUAACACAUGCAAGUCGAACGGUGACGACGGGGCUUGCCCUGUCUGAUCAGUGGCGAACGGGUGAGUAACACGUGAGUAACCUGCCCUUGACUCUGGGAUAACCGCGGGAAACGGCGGCUAAUACCGGAUAUGAGACGUACAGGCAUCUGUUGCGUCUGGAAAGAUUUAUCGGUCAAGGAUGGGCUUCGCGGCCUAUCAGCUUGUUGGUGGGGUGAUGGCCUACCAAGGCGACGACGGGUAGCCGGCCUGAGAGGGCGACCGGCCACACUGGGACUGAGACACGGCCCAGACUCCUACGGAGGCAGCAGUGCGUGGAAUAUUGCACAAUGGGCGCAAGCCUGAUGCAGCGACGCCGCGUGAGGGAUGAAGGCCUUCGGGUUGUAAACCUCUUUCAGCAGGGAAGAAGCGCAAGUGACGGUACCUGCAGAAGAAGCGCCGGCUAACUACGUGCCAGCAGCCGCGGUAAUACGUAGGGCGCAAGCGUUGUCCGGAAUUAUUGGGCGUAAAGAGCUCGUAGGCGGUUUGUCGCGUCUGCUGUGAAAACCUGAGGCUCAACCUCGGGCUUGCAGUGGGUACGGGCAGACUAGAGUGCGGUAGGGGUGACUGGAAUUCCUGGUGUAGCGGUGGAAUGCGCAGAUAUCAGGAGGAACACCGAUGGCGAAGGCAGGUCACUGGGCCGCAACUGACGCUGAGGAGAGAAAGCAGGGA
Molecule: ribosomal RNA, 729 nt
Filed under: Cellulomonas sp. SU1-2/12
Lineage: Bacteria; Bacillati; Actinomycetota; Actinomycetes; Micrococcales; Cellulomonadaceae
Description: bacterial SSU rRNA
Rfam family: Bacterial small subunit ribosomal RNA
Source: RNAcentral